RNAcentral lists this ribosomal RNA (253 nucleotides) under uncultured bacterium. RNAcentral's name for it is "partial 16S ribosomal RNA". It matches the Rfam family "Bacterial small subunit ribosomal RNA", at positions 524 to 776 of the family's 1533-position model. The record is from RNAcentral.
UACGAAGGGUGCAAGCGUUAAUCGGAAUUACUGGGCGUAAAGCGUGCGUAGGCGGUUCGUUAAGUCUGAUGUGAAAGCCCUGGGCUCAACCUGGGAAUGGCAUUGGAUACUGGCGGGCUAGAGUGCGGUAGAGGGGUGCGGAAUUCCCGGUGUAGCGGUGAAAUGCGUAGAGAUCGGGAGGAACAUCUGUGGCGAAGGCGGCACCCUGGACCAGCACUGACGCUGAGGCAAGAAAGCGUGGGGAGCAAACAGG